UCUUACAUGUUGAAGGAUUGGGGUCAAAUCUCAUCAGUGAUAUCAUCUCAUGCAAGAGCUCAAGAGUAAGUGAAGUAGAGCUGUGGCACCAGAAUCUAGGGCACACAAACUUCAAAAAUCUGAAGCUGCUCAACAAGUACAAUGCCAUAAGAGGAAUUCCAGAUCU
Non-coding RNA from Erythranthe guttata (spotted monkey flower), 166 nucleotides. The record is from RefSeq and is a predicted model, not a curated record. NCBI's taxonomy places the organism in Eukaryota, Viridiplantae, Streptophyta, Magnoliopsida, Lamiales, Phrymaceae.